UAUGCAUUUUUCUUCCACUAUUUGUGUUAAUCUGUAGUCAGUUGGACGUCUAAAUUAUUUGAAUAGGUACCUAUUUUGUUGUAGUUAAAAUGAGAAUUUCUGGUGAAUUAACUGAUUUGAAGCCUGAAACUCCAAGUACCGAUGAUUGUGUACCAGGCUGCGACUGCCACGACAUCUAUAUUGACCAUACCUGCAUGAAGUAAACAUGGCAACCAGAAGAUACUAGAUAGGUCUGUAUUUAUUAUAAGUAGACAUUAUUAUCCACAUAAUGUUAAAGUGUUAAUAUUAUUACAUCCCAAU
Spodoptera litura is the source of this 300-nucleotide long non-coding RNA. RefSeq lists it as uncharacterized. NCBI's taxonomy places the organism in Eukaryota, Metazoa, Arthropoda, Insecta, Lepidoptera, Noctuidae. The record is from RefSeq and is a predicted model, not a curated record.